This 148-nucleotide small RNA is filed under the name Macaca fascicularis (crab-eating macaque). RNAcentral's name for it is "Metazoan signal recognition particle RNA (ENSMFAG00000050219.1)". The record is from Rfam by way of RNAcentral. Lineage: Eukaryota; Metazoa; Chordata; Mammalia; Primates; Cercopithecidae.
GCCGGGCAUGGUGGCGCAUGCCUGUAAUCCCAGCUACUCAGGAGGCUGAGGCAGGAGAAUUGCUUGAACCCUGGAAGCGGAGGUUGCAGUGAGCCGAGAUUACACCCUUGCAAUUCAGCCUGGGUGACAGAGUGAGACUCUGUCUCAA